This 480-nucleotide ribosomal RNA is filed under the name uncultured bacterium. RNAcentral's name for it is "partial 16S ribosomal RNA". It matches the Rfam family "Bacterial small subunit ribosomal RNA", at positions 28 to 523 of the family's 1533-position model. The record is from RNAcentral.
GACGAACGCUGGCGGCGUGCUUAACACAUGCAAGUCGAGCGGAAAGGCCACUUCGGUGGUACUCGAGCGGCGAACGGGUGAGUAACACGUGAGUAAUCUGCCCCCGGCUUUGGGAUAGCCACCGGAAACGGUGAUUAAUACCGGAUACGACACUUCUCGCAUGGGAUGGUGGUGGAAAGUUUUUUCGGCCAGGGAUGUGCUCGCGGCCUAUCAGCUUGAUGGUGAGGUAAUGGCUCACCAUGGCUUCGACGGGUAGCCGGCCUGAGAGGGUGACCGGUCACACUGGGACUGAGACACGGCCCAGACUCCUACGGGAGGCAGCAGUGGGGAAUAUUGGACAAUGGGCGGAAGCCUGAUCCAGCAACGCCGCGUGAGGGAUGACGGCCUUCGGGUUGUAAACCUCUUUCAGCAGGGACGAAGCGCAAGUGACGGUACCUGCAGAAGAAGCACCGGCCAACUACGUGCCAGCCGCCGCGGUAA